Non-coding RNA from Ostreococcus tauri, 116 nucleotides. NCBI's taxonomy places the organism in Eukaryota, Viridiplantae, Chlorophyta, Mamiellophyceae, Mamiellales, Bathycoccaceae. The record is from Rfam.
CUUGGUGUCUUCGUCACAAUCGAAACACAGCAUCCCAUCAGAACUGCGUGGUGAAAGGUUUUUGAGACUAAGAUAGCUAUCGGGCCACUGAUAGUGAAAACGUGUCGAUGCCAAGA